GAGUUUGAUCCUGGCUCAGAACGAACGCUGGCGGCAAGCCUAACACAUGCAAGUCGAACGGACAAUUGCUUAUAACCUUUUGGUUAUAAAUAAUUGUUAGUGGCAGACGGGUGAGUAAUGCGUAGGAAUCUACCUAGUAGUAUGGAAUAGCCAUUAGAAAUGAUGGGUAAUACUGUAUAAUCCCUGCGGGGGAAAGAUUUAUCGCUAUUAGAUGAGCCUACGUUAGAUUAGCUAGUUGGUAAGGUAAUGGCUUACCAAGGCUAUGAUCUAUAGCUGGUCUGAGAGGACGAUCAGCCACACUGGAACUGAGAUACGGUCCAGACUCCUACGGGAGGCAGCAGUGGGGAAUAUUGGACAAUGGGCGAAAGCCUGAUCCAGCUAUGCCGCGUGAGUGAAGAAGGCCUUCGGGUUGUAAAACUCUUUCAAUAGGGAAGAUAAUGACGGUACCUAUAGAAGAAGUCCCGGCAAACUCUGUGCCAGCAGCCGCGGUAAUACGGAGGGGGCAAGCGUUGUUCGGAAUUAUUGGGCGUAAAGGGCACGUAGGUGGACUAGUAAGUUAAAAGUGAAAUACCAAGGCUUAACUUUGGAGCGGCUUUUAAUACUGCUAGACUAGAGGUCGAAAGAGGAUAGCGGAAUUCCUAGUGUAGAGGUGAAAUUCGUAGAUAUUAGGAGGAACACCAGUGGCGAAAGCGGCUAUCUGGUUCGAUACUGACACUGAGGUGCGAAAGCGUGGGGAGCAAACAGGAUUAGAUACCCUGGUAGUCCACGCUGUAAACGAUGAGUGCUAAAUGUGAGGAUUUUAUCUUUGUAUUGUAGCUAACGCGUUAAGCACUCCGCCUGGGGACUACGGUCGCAAGACUAAAACUCAAAGGAAUUGACGGGGACCCGCACAAGCGGUGGAGCAUGUGGUUUAAUUCGAUGCAACGCGAAAAACCUUACCACUUUUUGACAUGAAGGUCGUAUCCCUCCUAAUAGGGGGAGUCAGUUCGGCUGGACCUUACACAGGUGCUGCAUGGCUGUCGUCAGCUCGUGUCGUGAGAUGUUGGGUUAAGUCCCGCAACGAGCGCAACCCUCAUCCUUAGUUACCAACAGGUAAUGCUGGGCACUCUAAGGAAACUGCCAGUGAUAAACUGGAGGAAGGUGGGGAUGAUGUCAAGUCAGCACGGCCCUUAUAAGGUGGGCUACACACGUGCUACAAUGGCAACUACAAUAGGUCGCGAGACCGCAAGGUUUAGCUAAUCCAUAAAAGUUGUCUCAGUUCGGAUUGUUCUCUGCAACUCGAGAGCAUGAAGUCGGAAUCGCUAGUAAUCGUGGAUCAUCAUGCCACGGUGAAUACGUUCUCGGGUCUUGUACACACUGCCCGUCACGCCAUGGGAAUUGGCUUAACUCGAAGCUGGUGUGCUAACCGCAAGGAAGCAGCCAUUUAAGGUUGGGUUAGUGACUAGGGUGAAGUCGUAACAAGGUAGCUGUAGGUGAACCUGCGGCUGGAUUACCUCCUUUUAGGCUUUCUUAUCUAAUGUUAUUUUUUAGUAAUGUUUUGAUAAGCUGCUACGCCGUCUUUAUUUCUAUUUUGUCUAAUUGUUUUGUCUAAAUGGUUAAGGGUGUAGUUAAUCUUUAUCCUGUAAUUAGGCAUAAAUUUCUUUUAUUUUUAUGAAAUUUGAUAAUGUCAAAAGUUAGGCCUUUAUCACCGCAUUUACAAAUAUACAAAGUUGUAUAUAAGCUUUCUAUUAUGCAUAGGUUUACUGGUAUGAUACUAUUUUUAGGUCUGCUGGUUCUAUCAUGGGGUUUUAUUCUUUCUUUUUUAUGUCCUCAAGUAGUAUAUAGAAUUUGUAGUUUUUUUUGUAAUUCUUAUGUUUCAUUAUAUUCUCUAAAGUUAAUAACUUUUAUUUGGUUGAAUGUAUUGUGCUACCAUUAUAUGAAUGGUAUAAGGCAUAUUUUCUGGGAUUUAGGAUUGGGUUUGAGUAAAUCUGCGGUGAGAACUACGGGAGUGGUAGUUGUUUUUUUAUGUCUAGUCUCAUCUUUUAUACUUUAUAGUUUUUUCUUAAGUUAAUGAUAUAAAAUUAUGGUUAGUCAUUCAGUUUAUCAUUGGUUAAUUCAAAGGGUUACGGCUUUUGUUUUAAUUCCUCUUUCUCUGUGGUUUUUAUUUAAGGUUCUUGGUGUUAUUUCUAUAAUACUUAAAUCUUUUCCAGAACUUCAUUUGUCUAUUUCAAAUAUAAGUAAUACUGAUCUUAUUAUUUUAUUAUGCUUUUUUAUCUCUGCAUUUUAUCAUGCGGUUCUAGGUGUACAGGUUAUAUUAGAAGAUUAUAUACAUUCUGUUGUGUUAAGAGCAUCUGUAUUUCUUGUUAUUAAAGGAAUUGUGAUUUUAACUGUGUUGUUUUUAACAUUUAUAAUUUUAUAUAGUGUACUGUUAGGAUAUUAAUUCUGUUCAUUUUUUAUAUUUAGAUGAAUAAGGGUUUUGAUAGAUAAUUUCCCUGUGUGUUGUAAGCUAAAUAUUUUUUAUUAGUUUUUAUAUAAUAUUUCAAUUGUUUUUUAUCUUCUUUAUGUUCUUUAUAUUAAAUAUUUUUGAUAUUAAUUUUUUUACUAUUGUAUAAUAUAGUUAAGUAGGUGUUUUUGUAAUAUUAGUGUUGAUAAGAUAUGUUUAGUAAUAUUUUUAGGGCUAUUAGGGGUGGUGUUAGAGCUAUACCAUCUACUCCAUUGAAGAUAUUUAAUGGUGUACGUACAGUAUAUGGUUUUUUUGGUGUUA
This 2743-nucleotide ribosomal RNA is filed under the name Ehrlichia chaffeensis str. West Paces. RNAcentral's name for it is "16S ribosomal RNA". The stretch from base 1 to 1500 matches the Rfam family "Bacterial small subunit ribosomal RNA". The record is from RNAcentral. Lineage: Bacteria; Pseudomonadati; Pseudomonadota; Alphaproteobacteria; Rickettsiales; Anaplasmataceae. RNAcentral also lists the same sequence under 2 other names.